Molecule: ribosomal RNA, 253 nt
Filed under: uncultured bacterium
Lineage: Bacteria
Description: partial 16S ribosomal RNA
Rfam family: Bacterial small subunit ribosomal RNA
Source: RNAcentral
GACGAACCGUGCGAACGUUAUUCGGAAUCACUGGGCUUAAAGGGCGCGUAGGCGGGCGGACAAGUCGGGGGUGAAAUCGUUCGGCCCAACCGGACAAGGGCCCCCGAUACUGGCCGUCUCGAGGGAGGUAGGGGUCGAUGGAACUUCCGGUGGAGCGGUGAAAUGCGUAGAUAUCUGGAGGAACACCGGUGGCGAAGGCGGCGUCCUGGACCAACACUGACACUGAUGAGCGAAAGCCAGGGGAGCAAACGGG